GAUGAACGCUGGCGGCGUGCCUAAUACAUGCAAGUCGAGCGAACAGACGAGGAGCUUGCUCCUCUGAUGUUAGCGGCGGACGGGUGAGUAACACGUGGAUAACCUACCUAUAAGACUGGGAUAACUUCGGGAAACCGGAGCUAAUACCGGAUAACAUGUUGAACCGCAUGGUUCAACAGUGAAAGACGGUCUUGCUGUCACUUAUAGAUGGAUCCGCGCCGCAUUAGCUAGUUGGUAAGGUAACGGCUUACCAAGGCAACGAUGCGUAGCCGACCUGAGAGGGUGAUCGGCCACACUGGAACUGAGACACGGUCCAGACUCCUACGGUAGGCAGCAGUAGGGAAUCGUCCGCAAUGGGCGAAAGCCUGACGGAGCAACGGCGCGUGAGUGAAGAAGGUCUUCGGAUCGUAAAACUCUGUUAUUAGGGAAGAACAAAUGUGUAAGUAACUAUGCACGUCUUGACGGUACCUAAGCAGAAAGCCACGGCUAACUACGUG
This 497-nucleotide ribosomal RNA is filed under the name uncultured bacterium. RNAcentral describes it as "partial 16S ribosomal RNA". It matches the Rfam family "Bacterial small subunit ribosomal RNA", at positions 28 to 507 of the family's 1533-position model. The record is from RNAcentral.